AACAAAUCUCCAGGGAAAGAAAAACAGGCAAAAAGCAUUUUGUUAGGCAGUGCCAAAAACCCCAGCAGCCCUUGGAACGUAGCUUAUCAGCAGGAGUCCUGCAGUGGAUGAUUGCAUUUAGUAUGGAUGAUUUCAAUUAAUAUGCAAGUUAUGUCAAUAAACAGCAACAAAUCGAGGAAGAAUCAUGAGCAGGAACUAUGCUAAUCAGCUGCCAGCAACAAUGAGAAUAGGCAACGAAGAAAAGCAUAUGAAAAACAUAACAAAAAGCAGGCCAUCAUGAUUGGAAGAAGAAGGGGGAAAUCAAGACUGUGGAUUAUACUGUGACCUUGUAAUUUGCAGCUAAGGUGUGCCCAGGCGAACAGGUGCUUCAAAAAACAUUCUGCAAAGGUUGUGUGUCCUUUUUUUGUGUGAAGCUGACAGUGUUGUGCAUGAAAAAAGGCAGCCAAACAUGCCAAUGUUGUCAAAAAUAUGAUCAAAGAGAGAAAGGGAAGGAAGGUGUAGUGCAGUUUAAUCAAAGGAUGUUCAAUAACAUAGCAUUGCAAAGAUUUAAAAAAAAAAAAAAAAAUAGGCCACAUCUUUUCAUGUAUUGAAGCUAUGUUUUGUGAAAAAAAAAACAUGAAUAUAGAUGCAAAAGAAACAACCUUUUAUGGGGAUGGUGUUGCUGUGCGCCCCUUCUUUGCAGGGGCUGGCGAACCACCAUGGCGUCACGAUCCAGGCACAUCAUCUGAAAGUGAUGCAGUUGAUGCGAUGUCCUCAAGCUCAAGAUGUAACAUGGAAGCAGCAGAAGAUGAGGAGAAAGACAAAGUUGUGCGCCUAUAUUUUUUUGUUUCCAAGUUAAGAAAGUGAAGCCCCGAAACCAUGACGAAAAAACAUGGUUGGAGCAAUAAAACCAAAAGUGCUGUUAAUCAAAAACCAAAUUAUUUUUUUUCAUGUUAAUCACAAAUGUAGUCAGUGAAUGGCAAUUGACACACAGGUUGGUAAGUGAACAUAAAUUCAAAAAAACCAAGGGAAUGACUGAUAAAUUUGAAAAGAAUGCUCAUGGGAGUUUUGGCAAGAUCGCUGUGUAUCUGGGCUGACCUGUCUCAUUAUAGAAAUCAAGUCUCCUCCUUAUUCCAGUAAGAUUGGCACUGCGAGUUCCUGAUGAACAUUUGAGGCGGUUGCCUGGGAGGAAGCUGCAUUAAAACACUCCAAACCUCUCAUUCUUGGCUGAUUCUGUCGACCGAUCAUCUUGUCAUUUUUCUCCCUUCAACGUAGAAAAGGAUGGGUUAUAACCCUAAUUUAUCUUAAAGUUUUGAACCCAACCCGCCAUUGAUCAAACUUCUUGAAGCAAUUUUAUUAGACUAUGCAUGGUGGCUGGAUAAAUGCAUUAAUCAAGUAAACAGCCCGCAUGUACGAGGGAAAUCUGCCUGCUGGCACCUUUCCAAUGGCACCUGCAUUUCCCCUUCUCAAAUGCAAUUUUUUCAAUGAUUUCCGACACCAUUUUGAGUUGGAUAAAAAAGUGUAUUUUAGAAUACCUCUUUUUAAGCCAAACGACAUUGUAUAAGACCGUUU
Molecule: long non-coding RNA, 1551 nt
Filed under: Populus tremula
Lineage: Eukaryota; Viridiplantae; Streptophyta; Magnoliopsida; Malpighiales; Salicaceae
Description: long non-coding RNA (PTRE_LNC002125)
Source: RNAcentral